Molecule: ribosomal RNA, 106 nt
Filed under: Candidatus Vogelbacteria bacterium RIFOXYB1_FULL_42_16
Lineage: Bacteria; Candidatus Vogeliibacteriota
Source: RNAcentral
GUUGGUGAUUUAACGGCAGGGUCACACCCGAUCUCAUUCCGAACUCGGAAGUUAAGCCUGCUAGUGGUGAUGGUACUUGUAAAGGGAGAGUAACUAGUCGCCAACA